GUGAACGCCCUCACGGGCUUAUACUAUUCCAAACCUCUGUGAACCGUGCCCUUCGGGGCUAUUUUACAAACAUGGUGUAAUGAACGUCAUAUAUCAUAACAAAACAA
RNAcentral lists this unclassified non-coding RNA (107 nucleotides) under soil metagenome. Its description in RNAcentral is "partial internal transcribed spacer 1". The record is from RNAcentral.